RNA transcript from Mesocricetus auratus (golden hamster), 1097 nucleotides. It is a transcript of the gene named chromosome unknown C17orf64 homolog, with no coding region annotated. Lineage: Eukaryota; Metazoa; Chordata; Mammalia; Rodentia; Cricetidae. The transcript is spliced from 7 exons. The record is from RefSeq and is a predicted model, not a curated record.
ACUACUUGGGGAACUCAGGUCACAGAAGCAGUGGGUUAGAAGCCCUCGGGGUACCUAAGGAGUGCUGUCCUGGAGCCUGCUAGCCAAGCUGUUGAGAUGGAAGCCUCAGAGAGGCAAGGGAGUGAAACAGACGAGCCAUUCCAGAAGGUGGGGAGUGUUCCCUGCUUAGAGAAGAGCUCCAGAACAAUCCCCACCGGAGAUGCUCUGGUCCGCCAUGCCAAGGGCCUGAGCCAGGACACCUUCAAAAUUUGUAAAGAAUACCUGAGGCCUCAGAAGAAGUUCCUGCGGAAGCUGAACUUGCCCAAGGGCCUUUCCCAGAAGAGGCGGAUCAAGUACACAAAGCAGAGCCUUGAGGCCCUGGGGGACCACAUCAACACCUUCCUGCAGCAUUACUGCCGGGCCUGGGAGAUCAAGCACUGGAAGAAGAUGCUCUGGCGGUUUGUCUCCCUCUUCUCAGACCUGGAGUCAAAGCAGCUUCGCCGUCUCUAUAAGUACACCAAAACCAAUCAGACAGUCAAGUUCCUGGUCGCCUUCUGUCCCUUGGAUACACCAGAGAGAUACUUGCUGGCCAACCAGGAGGACAGUCUUCCCAGACUCUGCAGCGCCUGGGGGUUGCAUGGAAAUAUCAGCGGUAUGAAGGAGAGGUUGUCCAAGAUGCAGGCCCCUGGCCAGGAGGCUGGCAUGCUGGUGGAGCCAAGGUCCACAUACUGCUUCGGAGGAGAUUCCUUAAGGAAACUUCCUCCAAAACCAAAACUGAAGAAAAAGCAGAUUAAAGAAAGCUCAGAAACUCCCAAGAGCUACUGCUACCUAUGAGAAGACCCACAGGCAUGGAGGCCAGCUCUCCCUGGUUCUCUGAGCACUUGCAUGUACUCUCUAGGGGGAGAGGGGAUUGAAUAGGCUGUCUCCAUUUGGAUAUGUAUUCCUAUAUAACAGCCGGUGGAACUGAGGGGCGAUUGCCUCAACUCGCUGGUGUGUUUCCUAGCCCAGCAGUCUCCUCCCAUGCCUAGUACCUUGUACAACGGGCGUCUCACAUCUACACCACCCGUGCAACUCUUGGGACCUUUAGUAUUUGACAUCCCCAAAGCCUGCAGAAGCAA